This 908-nucleotide ribosomal RNA is filed under the name uncultured bacterium. Its description in RNAcentral is "bacterial SSU rRNA". It matches the Rfam family "Bacterial small subunit ribosomal RNA", at positions 8 to 891 of the family's 1533-position model. The record is from RNAcentral.
AGAGUUUGAUCCUGGCUCAGAACGAACGCUGGCGGCGUGCUUAACACAUGCAAGUCGAACGAGAAAGUUUUCUUCGGAAAACGAGUAGAGUGGCGCACGGGUGAGUAACGCGUAGGUAAUCUACCCUAAUAUUUGGGAUAACAUUGGGAAACUGGUGCUAAUACCGAAUACCCUUCUUUUCUGUCGGGUUAAGGAGGAAAGGUGGCCUCUCCAUGAAAGCUACCGUACAAGGAUGAGCCUGCGUACCAUUAGCUAGUAGGUGGGGUAAUGGCCCACCUAGGCAACGAUGGUUAGCGGGUCUGAGAGGAUGAUCCGCCACACUGGAACUGGAACACGGACCAGACUCCUACGGGAGGCAGCAGUGAGGAAUAUUGCGCAAUGGGGGAAACCCUGACGCAGCGACGCCGCGUGAGUGAGGAAGGUUUUCGGAUCGUAAAGCUCUGUCAGAAGGGAAGAAGUGUUAUACAGUUAAUACCUGUAUAAUUUGACGGUACCUUCAGAGGAAGCACCGGCUAACUCCGUGCCAGCAGCCGCGGUAAUACGGAGGGUGCAAGCGUUGUUCANAAUUACUGGGCGUAAAGGGCGCGUAGGCGGCCCGAUAAGUCAGAUGUGAAAGUCCAUGGCUCAACUGUGGAAGUGCAUUUGAAACUGUCAGGCUUGAGUAUCCGAGGGGAGUGUGGAAUUCCCGGUGUAGAGGUGAAAUUCGUAGAGAUCGGGAGGAACACCGGUGGCGAAGGCGACACUCUGGACGAAUACUGACGCUGAGGCGCGAAAGCGUGGGGAGCAAACAGGAUUAGAUACCCUGGUAGUCCACGCCGUAAACGAUGUGAACUAGAGGUAGGGGGUGUUGAUCCCUCCUGUCUCGCAGCUAACGCAUUAAGUUCACCGCCUGGGGAGUACGGUCGCAA